This 636-nucleotide unclassified non-coding RNA is filed under the name Hevea brasiliensis (rubber tree). Lineage: Eukaryota; Viridiplantae; Streptophyta; Magnoliopsida; Malpighiales; Euphorbiaceae. The record is from RNAcentral.
GAAGAAUUUGUGCUAUUGUUUUAGAUCCAAGGAUAUCCAAAUUGUGGGCUCUUUAUGUUCUUUUGUUUUCUUCGGACAAGUCAAAGCUUCCUCUUUAAUGGGUUCCCUUGUCCUUCCAAACAAGGGGAAUCCUUUCUCCCACCUAAAGUGUGGCUUCUUUCCCUCUCCAGCCUCUAGGAUGGGUGUAGAUAUGUUUUGUGAGUUUUGAAAUGGCAGAUCCAGAGCUUCUCAGAGAGGAAUUUGAUGUGGUGAUUUAUUUCUAUUGUUUUAUGGUUUUGAUGUGGCUAGAUGUAUGCAUUAACUUUGGGAGCAGAUCCAAAGGAAGGCAUCCUGAGAAUUAAGAGUCAGCAUUUUAGAUGUUGUUGUCAAUGCUUCAUGGCCAAAGGAGAGUGAGAUACCAUGCCCUCUGUUUCUCUUUUCUCCCAGAUAGAUGGUUUAAAGAGCAUAGUAUGCCUUAGGAGGCGAUAGUUUGUUUGUUUGAAUUAUUGUGUUUCCUCUUGGUUCUGCUUGAUUGUUUCAGCUAUGCAUGACUCUGAGGAAAUUUCUCUUCUUCUUAGUCUCUAGCUGCAUCCCUAGUUCAUGGCCUUUUCAAUGAACAAUGUUGUGAUUUCUCCCAUCUAUGUUUGAUAAUAGGGC